GUAGGUGAACCUGCGGAAGGAUCAUUAACACGAAUUUUAUCCAAUAUCAAAACCAACCGUGAACUUUUCCCCUCCCUGUAAGUUGAAAGCUUCAUCGCGAUUAACUUACAGGCUAACCCCCUUUUUUUAAUUUUAACCCCUAUUAACUCUUUGUUUUACCUAUUCUUAUAGGCCAAAACAACUAACUAAAAAAUUGACUAAGACCCAACAAUUUAUUUGUUGUCCUCUUAUUUAUAUUUUUUCUAUUACGAAAUAAUAUUUACUAAAGAACAACUCUUAACAAUGGAUAUCUUGGUUCUC
This 300-nucleotide unclassified non-coding RNA is filed under the name rhizosphere metagenome. Its description in RNAcentral is "partial ribosomal RNA internal transcribed spacer region". The record is from RNAcentral.